UACGGAGAGUGCAAACGUUGUUCGGAUUCACUGGGCGUAAAGGGCACGUAGGCGGCUCGGCAAAUCGGUCGUGGAAUCCCGACGCUUACCGUCGGAACGGCGGCCGAAAAUACCGGGCUCGAGGGCGUGAGGGGUCACUGGAACUCCUGGUGAAGCGGUGAAAUGCGUAGAUAUCAGGAGGAACGCCGGAGGCGAAAGCGAGUGACUGGCGCGUUCCCGACGCUGAGGUGCGAAAGCUAGGGGAGCAAACAGG
This 253-nucleotide ribosomal RNA is filed under the name uncultured bacterium. RNAcentral's name for it is "partial 16S ribosomal RNA". It matches the Rfam family "Bacterial small subunit ribosomal RNA", at positions 524 to 776 of the family's 1533-position model. The record is from RNAcentral.